Podarcis raffonei (Aeolian wall lizard) is the source of this 2947-nucleotide long non-coding RNA. RefSeq lists it as uncharacterized. The transcript is spliced from 3 exons. The record is from RefSeq and is a predicted model, not a curated record. NCBI's taxonomy places the organism in Eukaryota, Metazoa, Chordata, Lepidosauria, Squamata, Lacertidae.
UCAGGCAUAGGGGUGGAAACAGUUGCCCUGGUAGAUUUCUUAUGCUGGGGUGCACUGUAAAGGAUUUAAAGAUCAUAGCCUUGCAGCCAGUUUACUGUGUCUGUGUGAAUUGUCUCCUUUGUGUUGACAUUUUUGGUCUGGUACUGAAAUUCUGGGAAUCUUACCAGUACGGACAAGCAUAGAGCCAAAUUGCAAAUGCUUCUCUGUGAGAUGUAGAGAAAAUGCAUUUGUGAAAGCAGAUAAGCUCAACUCCCCCCCCCCCUGCUGUGCAAUAAACCUUUGGGAGAGCUCAUAUCAUAUUUUGCUGAGAAACUAUUUCAGUACAGCAAAUGAUCUAAUGUAGCUUGAAGUAUUUAUAAAUGAGCAUAAAUUAGAUUAUAUUGUACCAUCAAAAAUACUUUGCUUUCCUCACACAUUAGGCCCAGGAUGUAUUUAUUUAUAUCUAGAUAUAUAUUAGCACUGUUAAUGGCAUAACCUCAGGCAGGUUGGUGCAAAAUUUAAUUAGUGCUAAACUGCCUGACACAGCUGAAGCAUAAAAUUGGCUAUUUUCAGGACUUUCCCAUUUUAAAGCCUAUUUAUUGUCUGUUUACAGCUUCUGUUUCUUCUGAUUGGCAGAAUCAUAAUCAGGUGAUCCAAUUCAAAAGAGUCCUGACCUGCCGUGUCUGGCUUUGGAUUCUAUUGAAAGCCUGUUUGAGCUCAGAAUCAGAGUUGCGAAGACACCAUUCAAGAGUUGAUGGCACAAUUCACUCCUGUGACUUCUGCAACAAAUGAAAAUGACACUCAGUAUACUUUUAUGGUAACCUUCCAAGAAAAUAUCUAGCAACAGCAUUCCGGUCAACGGAUGAUCUGCAGGUAUGAAUUAGGGAUUAGAAAGAAUACCAUUUUGCUUUCUCUUGGUUUCUCAUUUUUCCACAUUUCCACAUCAGUUUGCAACUAAAAAAUAAACUCCCAAUGAGUGGCCAGUCAAAUGUCCAUCGGAAGUCUUCAGGUAGGACCUGAGCACUCUUGCCAUUUGGGAUUCCCAAGAACUGGUGUUCAGAGGUAGUUACAGCUUUCUACAAUUUUAUUAACUAUUUUUAUUUAUUAUUACAGGUAUAUUCCACAUUUCUUCAAAGGAGCUCCAGGUGGUGUAUAUGGCUCUUUCCCUCCUCUGAGGGAUAAUCACUGGCCAAAGGUCACCCACUGACCUUCAUGUCUGUGGAAGGAAUUUGAACUUGGAUCUCCCAGGUCCUAGACCAGCACUCAUUGAUAGCAUUAUCCAUGAAUUUAUCUAAUCCUCUGUUAAUGUCAUCCAAGUUGGUGGCCAACUUCAGCAUUUACCUAAGCUGAAAAUUAUUUUCACAUAUUGCAUUUUCACUUUAGGAGAGUUAUGGGGUGAACUCUAGACCAAGAUCUCACCCAUCCAUCCAGCAACUGGUUACCAGCAGCAGCCAGCCUCUGAAGCUUAUCCCAUUGCUUGUCUCCAGGAGAGGGUACAUCAGGCCAGAACUUUGUUGAAGAAGUCCAAAGUCUUUUGCAGCAAAAUGAGCAGUAGGACCCAAAUGCUUCAAGACUGGCUUACCACAUUUUGAAGAGCAGUAAUACACAUUAUCAUGUAAAGAAGGCUUAUGUGAUAUCAUUAAGUCCAAAGGAAAAGGGGUAUAAGAAAAUUAAUUACACAAAUACACCACUGGGCAUAGUUUCCUUUUCACAAACAAUAUAUGAGGUGCUAAACCUGUUCCUGAAGAUGGUUAUAUGCUUUGCUAUUUAAAAAAAAAAGUGGUGUCCCCCAGGUGUUGCUGGACAGCAGGUGUCAACAGUCACAGCCAACAUAGCCAAAAGUCAGAAAUGAUGGGGAUUGUAGUUCAACAACCCCUGGAGGGCAAUGCAUUGUCUACCAUUUCCAUAAGAGUAUCAUUGUCCUCACACACAGUGCCAAUAAAUAGUAAGUCUUCUUGAUACUGGAAAGCCACUGGAAGUGGUGAAGGCUCAUAAAUAGAAAUAAACCCGUGAAUUACUGAUCCAGGCACAGCUCUUACUUGGAAGGAUGGAAAUGUGCAGCAGUGACUCACACAGAGACGGGUGAUGAGACUCCUCUGAGGACAGAAAACUCUACAGCUUUCUACAUCAGAAAGUGACUAAUCACACCCAGUGAAGAACAUUGCCACCCCAGUGGAAGUUGACUGGCAGGAAAUGUGGACAACAAGAUGAAUCACACCGAAGCAUAAUGACAAUAUUCACUUUGGGUAUGAACACAGGAAGCUGUCUUGUGUUGAGUCAGAUUAUCACUCCAUCUAGCUCAGUAUGGUCAACAGUGGAUAGCAAUGGAUUGCAAGGGUUUCAGACAAGGAUGUUUUAUCCACACUAGCUAGAAAUGUUGGGGCCUGCCCAUGAGUUUGGAGUUCGCAUCAUCAUACAAUCCUUUCUUAACUUAAAUUCCUUCACCCCUAGCUAAUUAUGCUGAUAUAAGACCAGCCACUGCUUCUUUUCUGUUCUGCUGUAGCUCACUCCUGAUGUGGUUUAUGUUACUUCUCAUAAUUCCUUCAUUUGGCAUAAAUUAUUUUGGGGCUUUGCUUGCCCAAUCACUUAUGAUUCCUUGCCCCCCUCCCAAACUCAACUCUCCCUAGACCAACUUUAUUUCCUUUCUCUGUCUUUGCACUCUCCUGCCACUGUCUCAUGUUAUCUUGCUCCCUUUCCUUGCUUAAUCACCCAGGGACCUUUAGAAGUUGCUCCUCUGCCUUCAUCAAGCUGCUGGUCAAGCAUCUCCACUUUUUCUGCAGUUUGGCUCUGCCCCAGCAACCCAAGUCCUAAACAGGGAUGGAAGGACCUGUUAAUUUCAGUUCUCAAUGUUUUUCGUUUUUGUCAGUCUUAAAUCCAGCUCUUCACAUCUCAUAGCAUUUUGAAUUUUAAAAAAUCUGCAAGAGAAUUUUAGUGUGAAUGUCUUUUAAUAAACACAUUUUUAAAUACA